Molecule: unclassified non-coding RNA, 351 nt
Filed under: Hevea brasiliensis (rubber tree)
Lineage: Eukaryota; Viridiplantae; Streptophyta; Magnoliopsida; Malpighiales; Euphorbiaceae
Source: RNAcentral
ACUGGUGUGAUCACUAUACAACUGUAGAUUCAGUUUUAAUGUAUUAGCAUAAAUAUAGAUAAAGAUAUAUCAAUGCCAAUAAAAAGUAAAUAACAGGCAAGUUGCAGAAACAUCAAAUAUUAAGUUUUUAUCAACUGAAUAUGAGUCUACAAGUUACACCAACGUAAAAGCUCCAUAACUUUAAACAGUUGGUGCCUAAUCUUAAGCAUAGAUCCACUAAAUUAAACUCAGAAAGGAAAUGAACAAACCUUUAAGGUAUCCCAAUAUUUACCAUGUCAAAAUCUAUAGUUCCUAAGAAAAAAACUGAAACUCUACUUCAAUGCACACCACUGUUGGGGGGGGGGGGGGGGG